Small nuclear RNA from Oryctolagus cuniculus (rabbit), 100 nucleotides. The record is from Ensembl. NCBI's taxonomy places the organism in Eukaryota, Metazoa, Chordata, Mammalia, Lagomorpha, Leporidae.
CUGCUUGCUUCAGCACAUAUACUAAAAUCGGAAUGAUACAGAGAUUAGCGUGGCCCUGUGCAAGGAUGACAUGCAGAUUCAUGAAGUGUUCUAUAGUUUU